AGUAAUGUAAGAGAUAGGAAAGUUGAAGUUUGUGGGUUAUAGAAUGACAUAUGGCUAUGUGAUGAGCUGAUAUUGAUGGAAGUCAAUAAUCUCUAAUAAUCAAAAAGGCUAGGCAAAGGGCUUUGUGUUUGAAACCCUUGUUUGACAUAGGUUUGAAAUGCCUUUUGAGAUUAAGCAACUUGAAAUGUAGAUUACUUGGUAGGCUUUCUCUCCCUAUGUAGUAUGGGGGAAAGGUGAAAGGCCAGGUGCUUGGAUGGUUCUGUUAGUUCUUCCUAUCCUUUUUCAUGUAAGUGGGAAAGAUCUCUAAUAGUCAAAGAGGCUAGGCAAGGGGCUAUAUUGAUGGAGCCUUUGUUUGACAUGGAUUUGAAACGUCUCUGGUGAUUGGUCUAUUUUGACUAAUAUGAAAAAGAAGAGCACCUGAUAUUGUUGAGAAGGGCAACCAGAUAACUGGACUGGCCAUGGGAAAGGUGGAGGAGAAGACUGUGCCCAUAUCUCUAACAAUGGAAAGUGGAAUGAUGCCCUUUGUAGCAAAAAUAACUGUGUGAGAAGGAGAGGAGAAUAAAGUGAUGUAGAAACGGAAGAACCUUUGGAUGUCAAAUUUACAUGAUCACUUCUCUAACCCAAGAUGUAAUAAAACUUUUUUUUCCACACCCCAAA
Molecule: long non-coding RNA, 657 nt
Organism: Xenopus laevis (African clawed frog)
Lineage: Eukaryota; Metazoa; Chordata; Amphibia; Anura; Pipidae
Exons: 2
Source: RefSeq, a predicted model, not a curated record